GCAUCAAUGGGGUAGUGGUAACCUGGGUCGUUGCCAUCGCGUUUCGACCCGCCGCGAGUUCAAUUCUCGCUUGAUGCA
RNAcentral lists this transfer RNA (78 nucleotides) under Pleurotus ostreatus (oyster mushroom). RNAcentral's name for it is "tRNA-Gly". It matches the Rfam family "tRNA". From Rfam's summary of the family: Transfer RNA (tRNA) molecules are approximately 80 nucleotides in length. Their secondary structure includes four short double-helical elements and three loops (D, anti-codon, and T loops). Lineage: Eukaryota; Fungi; Basidiomycota; Agaricomycetes; Agaricales; Pleurotaceae. The record is from RNAcentral. RNAcentral also lists the same sequence under 1 other name.